RNAcentral lists this ribosomal RNA (253 nucleotides) under uncultured bacterium. RNAcentral's name for it is "partial 16S ribosomal RNA". It matches the Rfam family "Bacterial small subunit ribosomal RNA", at positions 524 to 776 of the family's 1533-position model. The record is from RNAcentral.
UACGUAGGGGGCAAGCGUUGUCCGGAAUCAUUGGGCGUAAAGAGCGUGUAGGCGGCCAGGUAGGUCUGCUGUGAAAACUCGAGGCUUAACCUCGAGCUGUCGGCGGAAACCAUCUGGCUAGAGUCCGGAAGAGGAGAAUGGAAUUCCUGGUGUAGCGGUGAAAUGCGCAGAUAUCAGGAAGAACACCCGUGGCGAAGGCGGCUCUCUGGGACGGUACUGACGCUGAGACGCGAAAGCGUGGGGAGCGAACAGG